GAUGAACGCUGACAGAAUGCUUAACACAUGCAAGUCGAUGGGGAAGUGGUGCUUGCACCAUGGUAACCAUGGCGGACGGGUGAGUAACGCGUAAGGAACUUGCCUGCGGGACUGGGAUAACAGCAGGAAACUGCUGAUAAUACCGGAUAAGGUCAUUAAGCUGCAUAGCUUAGUGAUGAAAGGAGACGCCUGCGGAGAGCCUUGCGUCCUAUUAGCUAGUUGGAGGGGUAACGGCCCACCAAGGCGAAGAUAGGUAGCCGGCCUGAGAGGGUGGACGGCCACAAGGGGACUGAGAUACGGCCCUUACUCCUACGGGAGGCAGCAGUGGGGAAUAUUGGACAAUGGGGGCAACCCUGAUCCAGCAAUUCUGUGUGCACGAAGACGGUUUUCGGAUUGUAAAGUGCUUUUAGCAGGGAAGAAGGAAGUGACGGUACCUGCAGAAGAAGCGACGGCUAAAUACGUG
RNAcentral lists this ribosomal RNA (463 nucleotides) under uncultured bacterium. RNAcentral's name for it is "partial 16S ribosomal RNA". It matches the Rfam family "Bacterial small subunit ribosomal RNA", at positions 28 to 507 of the family's 1533-position model. The record is from RNAcentral.